Molecule: ribosomal RNA, 215 nt
Filed under: uncultured Lactobacillus sp.
Lineage: Bacteria; Bacillati; Bacillota; Bacilli; Lactobacillales; Lactobacillaceae
Description: partial 16S ribosomal RNA
Rfam family: Bacterial small subunit ribosomal RNA
Source: RNAcentral
ACUUGGAAACAGGUGCUAAUACCGGAUAAGAAAGCGGAUCGCAUGAUCAGCUUUUAAAAGGCGGCGUAAGCUGUCGCUAUGGGAUGGCCCCGCGGUGCAUUAGCUAGUUGGUAAGGUAAAGGCUUACCAAGGCGAUGAUGCAUAGCCGAGUUGAGAGACUGAUCGGCCACAUUGGGACUGAGACACGGCCCAAACUCCUACGGGAGGCAGCAGGC